This 621-nucleotide ribosomal RNA is filed under the name uncultured bacterium. RNAcentral describes it as "bacterial SSU rRNA". It matches the Rfam family "Bacterial small subunit ribosomal RNA", at positions 124 to 775 of the family's 1533-position model. The record is from RNAcentral.
AUUUGCCUUUAGGAGGGGGACAACAACUGGAAACGGUUGCUAAUACCCCAUAUGCUUUCGAGUGAAAUGGAUUUCCGCCUAAAGAGAAGCUUGCGGCUGAUUAGCUUGUUGGUAGGGUAAUGGCCUACCAAGGCGACGAUCAGUAUCUGGUUUGAGAGGACGAUCAGACACACUGGAACUGAGACACGGUCCAGACUCCUACGGGAGGCAGCAGUAGGGAAUUUUCCGCAAUGGGCGAAAGCCUGACGGAGCAAUACCGCGUGAGGGAUGACUGCCUAUGGGUUGUAAACCUCUUUUUUCAGGGAGGAAUAAAAUGACGUGUACCUGAAGAAUAAGCAUCGGCUAACUCCGUGCCAGCAGCCGCGGUAAGACGGAGGAUGCAAGUGUUAUCCGGAAUCAUUGGGCGUAAAGCGUCUGUAGGUGGCUCAAUAAGUCAACUGUUAAAUCUUGAAGCUCAACUUCGAAAUCGCAGUCGAAACUAUUGGACUAGAGUAUAGUAGAGGUAAAGGGAAUUUCCAGUGGAGCGGUGAAAUGCGUAGAGAUUGGAAAGAACACCGAUGGCGAAGGCACUCUACUGGACUAUUACUGACACUCAGAGACGAAAGCUAGGGUAGCAAAUGG